RNAcentral lists this ribosomal RNA (460 nucleotides) under uncultured bacterium. RNAcentral's name for it is "partial 16S ribosomal RNA". It matches the Rfam family "Bacterial small subunit ribosomal RNA", at positions 338 to 795 of the family's 1533-position model. The record is from RNAcentral.
CCUACGGGUGGCAGCAGUGAGGAAUAUUGGUCAAUGGACGAGAGCCUGAACCAGCCAAGUAGCGUGAAGGAUGACUGCCCUAUGGGUUGUAAACUUCUUUUAUAUGGGAAUAAAAUGUUCCACGUGUGGGAUUUUGUAUGUACCAUAUGAAUAAGGAUCGGCUAAAUCCGUGCCAGCAGCCGCGGUAAUACGGAGGAUCCGAGCGUUAUCCGGAUUUAUUGGGGUUAAAGGGAGCGUAGGUGGAUUGUUAAGUCAGUUGUGAAAGUUUGCGGCGCAACCGUAAAAUUGCAGUUGAAACUGGCAGUCUUGAGUACAGUAGAGGUGGGCGGAAUUCGUGGUGUAGCGGUGAAAUGCUUAGAUAUCACGAAGAACUCCGAUUGCGAAGGCAGCUCACUGGACUGCAACUGACACUGAGGCUCGAAAGUGUGGGUAUCAAACAGGAUUAGAUACCCUUGUAGUC